UGGGAGUGCAUAGAUUGCCUGGCACAAUGCACAUGAUAUCAGUAUGGAUGGGGCCCUCGAACGGCGAGCUAAUGUGGCGUUUUAUCUAUGUUUGAUCCAAAUUGCUUCAUGUUCUUUUAAUGAGGUUGCAAUUCAGCUGGAGGAUGUGUUUACCAUGACCGCCAAAAUAAGACACAACAUAUGGUGUCCAGUGCUGUACAAUAGUAAUUCAUGGCCCGGUCCAAAAAUCAGCCAUUACUCACUUUAGAGUGCAGUAUCGUAAUCUACACGCCGUCAUGAAGAGCUGGGAGAACUGUAAGUGGAACUCAUCUUACCCUAAACAGUUGACCCACUGUCUUUUACAUUAUAUGGUCACUAUAACGCCCAUGAUGUGCAGACAAAAAUACCCCAGAGACGAUCUGGCUGUUGGUGGUAGAUGCUGAAUUUCUUUUGCAUUUACGAACCAAAGCAAAAGUCUUUCAGCUGCACUUUGUUACUGCUGCAUAGAUUUACUUCAUCUAUGCAUGUAUUCUCACUUCAGAGUCUAGGGAUUGUUUUUUUCUCUUCAGUCAAGAUCCAUGAUGCACAGAGGGAAGCUGCAGCGGCUCCCGGUUAGACGGUGCAGUUCUGCAUCAGGGUUGCAUAUUUACAUUCGAAAGCUGCAGACAAACUCUAAACUGGA
Molecule: non-coding RNA, 661 nt
Organism: Xyrichtys novacula (pearly razorfish)
Lineage: Eukaryota; Metazoa; Chordata; Actinopteri; Labriformes; Labridae
Source: the annotation of a GenBank genome assembly